AACGAACGCUGGCGGCAUGCCUAACACAUGCAAGUCGAACGAGACCUUCGGGUCUAGUGGCGCACGGGUGCGUAACGCGUGGGAACCUGCCCUUAUGUUCGGAAUAACUCCCCGAAAGGGGUGCUAAUACCGGAUAAUGUCUUCGGACCAAAGAUUUAUCGCCUUUGGAUGGGCCCGCGUUGGAUUAGCUAGUUGGUAGGGUAAAAGCCUACCAAGGCGACGAUCCAUAGCUGGUCUGAGAGGAUGAUCAGCCACACUGGGACUGAGACACGGCCCAGACUCCUACGGGAGGCAGCAGUGGGGAAUAUUGGAGAAUGGGCGAAAGGCUGAUCCAGCAAUGCCGCGUGAGUGAUGAAGGCCUUAGGGUUGUAAAGCUCUUUUACCCGGGAUGAUAAUGACAGUACCGGGAGAAUAAGCUCCGGCUAACUCCGUG
RNAcentral lists this ribosomal RNA (433 nucleotides) under uncultured bacterium. RNAcentral's name for it is "partial 16S ribosomal RNA". It matches the Rfam family "Bacterial small subunit ribosomal RNA", at positions 29 to 507 of the family's 1533-position model. The record is from RNAcentral.